Molecule: long non-coding RNA, 3044 nt
Organism: Dalotia coriaria
Lineage: Eukaryota; Metazoa; Arthropoda; Insecta; Coleoptera; Staphylinidae
Exons: 2
Source: RefSeq, a predicted model, not a curated record
UAUAAUAAUUGAAGAAUGUUAUUCAUGCAGAAAUUCCGUGCGCCCUUCAGGGAAUUCGGUUUGUUGUUCUCUUGCACACACGAAUUGCGAAAUUCAAACGGAGGAUGCUGGAUGUCUCCUGUCCGUACUUCUAAGGCAGAAGAAAUGCUCUGUGUGCUCGCGUGUGUGACGCAUGGAAUAUUCAUGGCAUCUGCAGUGUGAGUAUAAAGUAUACGCGACUGUUUGCGCUCGGCAUGUGUUUAUAUCGGGGACGGCGAUAAAGAAGACUCGAGGGCAUCGCCUCGGUAGUAAGCGUCACUUAACCGGGAAUUAACGGCCCACGAAAUCAUCCCGAUUUUCCGGCCAGCAGCUGGAUCUUAACCUCAUACCGCCCGCUGGUUGUGUUGUGUUUAAUGUGUGCGUGCGUACUUGCCGCACGGAGCUAUAAAACGGCCAAUAAUUGCAAGAUAAAUAAUCCGUCUUUGCUUUAUUCUGUCCGUCACACCAUUAUAUAGCUGUGGAAUCCUCUUAAAAGUGUUUUGGUUAUUUGAAAGUGGAAUUUAAGUGUUGAAUGAAACAACAUUAAUCAUAACCUCAAUGUCAGAGGUAAAUUAAACCAAUUGCAAAUCGUACAAAUACAUAAAAAAGUGUUUUUAUGAGUUUUGGAAUAGUUUGCUGCAGUUUUCGGCGUUGGCCGAUUGCCACUCAAAGUCUCCUACUAUCCUCGACUGGAAGGGUAAUCACGGACGUGUCAGCGUGCCCGGAUCCAGCACCCGCCAGAUUGCUGAAAUUUUCCAGCGAGGCGCUAUUGAAUUUCGUGAUACGUGACGAUAUUGUGCGCCGAGCGCGCCAUAGUAACACGACGCGGCGUGUCGUUACCGCUGGUAACCGACCAACCAACAUUGGAACAUUGCAAGAGUAACAGAAAUAUGCUCUGCUUCACACUCCCAAUUCCACUAGCAUGGUGGCAAAAAUAUUUAAUGAAUAUCUACUCGCGUUGAAACAAUAUCAAAGUACUGCGCGUGGUGGUAGAAUGAAAAUGGAAAGGACAGAAUGAACAAAAUUUCGUUUAGCGCGCGGUAGUAAUUAAUUUCCUAACGACAACUGGAAAAGCGAUUAAGCGUGCGCCGGUCAAAGGCAAAGAAAAAGGAGAAAAGCAACGGCGAGAGUUGCGCGAAUCGUGCCCGGGAUGCGGGGGCGUCACACCGUCUCGCAGGCAGAGCUGGUCGCCAUGGCAACGCCGCCAGCCACCCCGGGUAGAUAUUGAUCUGCAAAAGGGGAUCCCCGAAACGGCCGGCUACAGCAGCCACAGCAGCAGCAGCAGCAGCGGUGUUCACCAUCAUCGACCCCAACACUAUAUACUGACACUCACACAGCAUCCCCGUACGCGUGCAACGCGUGCAAAAAAAAUAUGUAGGAGUACAUGCCACCCCCGUUACUUUUGCCCGUGCGACCUUCUUUUCGGCGUGUGUGCAAUUUGCCCGCCUCGUUGUGUGUUAUUCUUUUCGCGUUACACGUCGCCGCGUUUCUUUUGAUGUAUUUCGCACAUCGCACGCGACGUUUGCCGCCCGCAAAUUGUUUUAUUUCGUAUCGCUCUUUCUCGCAUCCUGCGUGUUGCAGGAGUUGGCGCGAUUUGCUUGGUUUUUGGGUGUUUAAUUUUGCGCAUCGAUUUUCUUCUCGCUGGCGUGUGCAUCUUGUAUUCUAUUCCAUCUGCUCGACAAAGCGACUUUACGAGCUCGAGGGCGAACGGCGCAAGUUUCGCUACUACAACAUGGGUAUUUGCAUUCAGCGGAGUGCAUUUACAUGCGUCCUUUUUGGCGUGUGCGCCGCGGUAACGAAUUGUAAUUGAAGUUUUAGAAUUCGCCGCAGAGAAAAGCGCAACGCCCCGCGUGUUCUUAACACAAAAGCACGAUCUCGUCUCGAGUACAUGAAGAAAUGAAACCUGCUUCAAUUUCAAAUCUUAACAAUUUGGUCCUUUUUUGUAUAUUUUCAGAAAACUAUGAAAUAUCGAAGUGCUAUGAGACUUCUACUUCUAAGUAUCAUUAUCUGAGAUAUUUAGUUUGUUUUUUUGAAUGGAGAGGCGCUACAGUGAUAUUUUCUUUGAGUUCUUUUCUGUGGCUUCUUUUGUUCAUCUUUAACUGCAGUUUUCUAUGGCAUUUGUUCGAAGAUUGCUAUUAUUUUAGUUAGUAUUUGUCUUAUAACAUUAUUUCAGUAGGAAAAUUAUUAAAAAAUCUACAAUAUAAAAAUGAAUCGCAAAAUAUGUUGGUAAGCGCAUAACUCAACAACGCCUAGACCAAUUUGGCCAAUUCUUUUUUUAAAAUGCUCGUUAAAGGCCAAGGAUGGUUUUUACGACCAGAAAAAUUCGAAUAAAUGCCGAGAAAACCUUAAAGACAGCCCUUUUCUAUAAGAUAAAAGUUGGCAUUGAGAUUAAAUCAUAGUUAUAGUUAAAUAGUUGAAUCCGAGAUGGCGCACUAAAGUGCAUUAUUAGCAAUUCUUUAUAUAAUUAAUUUCUUUAAAAUAAAAUUGCGAAUGUUAUUGAUAGAAUUGACAAUUGUCUAGAACAAGAGAGUAAAAACGAAUUAUAUUUUUAUUAAACACUACCGGGGCGAAGUCGCGGGCAAAAGUUAGUAUCUUAUAUUUGGCUGCAAGUUCAGUUUUUUUUCGGUUUGUCAACCCUACUGUACUCAUGUAUAUGUAGGUGGUUUUUUAGGUGGUUACACUCCGGUUCUCUCAAUAAAGUGUACAAUUUAUAUUUUCCGCGCAAGUGAUUUUAUUUUCCUUUUGGCUGCCGGCAUAAUAAGCCAAAAGAGAAUCUUAAUUAUGCAUGUUCUGGCGAUGAACGAGUAGGAGGGGUGCCACUCGAGUCACUCGAGGCCGUUUCCAUAUUAUUUUCGCGUUCCUUUUUGCGGUCGGCGGUUUUAAAGCAAAACUCGAAUAAAACAUGAGCAAAGCGCAUUUUUAUUAUGAAGGGUUGUUGUUGCGUCGCUUAUUUUCGCCAAUGCUCUCUUUGAUCGAGAUAAGCCCUAUAAGAUCUAAAAAUACAAAUAAAUAUUAAAACGUAUAAA